UAGAUACCCUGGUAGUCCACGCCCUAAACGAUGAUAACUCGAUGUUGGCGAUAGACAGCCAGCGUCCCAGCGAAAGCGUUAAGUUAUCCACCUGGGGAGUACGCCCGCAAGGGUGAAACUCAAAGGAAUUGACGGGGGCCCGCACAAGCGGAGGAGCAUGUGGUUUAAUUCGAUGAUACGCGAGGAACCUUACCCGGGCUUGAAAGUUAGUGAAGAGUGCAGAGACGCACUCGUCCUUCGGGACACGAAA
This 250-nucleotide ribosomal RNA is filed under the name uncultured bacterium. RNAcentral describes it as "partial 16S ribosomal RNA". It matches the Rfam family "Bacterial small subunit ribosomal RNA", at positions 779 to 1033 of the family's 1533-position model. The record is from RNAcentral.